RNAcentral lists this transfer RNA (88 nucleotides) under Candidatus Bathyarchaeota archaeon. RNAcentral describes it as "tRNA-Ile". It matches the Rfam family "tRNA". Rfam says of the family: Transfer RNA (tRNA) molecules are approximately 80 nucleotides in length. Their secondary structure includes four short double-helical elements and three loops (D, anti-codon, and T loops). Lineage: Archaea; Thermoproteati; Candidatus Bathyarchaeota. The record is from RNAcentral.
GCGGGGGUGGCAGAGCUUGGUCAAAUGCGCGGGGCAUAUGAUCCCGUCCCAUAGGGGUUCGUGGGUUCAAAUCCCACCCCCCGCACCA